Molecule: ribosomal RNA, 337 nt
Filed under: uncultured Bacillota bacterium
Lineage: Bacteria; Bacillati; Bacillota
Description: bacterial SSU rRNA
Rfam family: Bacterial small subunit ribosomal RNA
Source: RNAcentral
GACGAACGCUGGCGGCGUGCCUAAUACAUGCAAGUCGAGCGGACUUGAUGGAGUGCUUGCACUCCUGAUGGUUAGCGGCGGACGGGUGAGUAACACGUAGGCAACCUGCCCGUAAGACUGGGAUAACAUUCGGAAACGAAUGCUAAUACCGGAUACGCGAUUUCCUCGCAUGAGGGAAUCGGGAAAGAAGGAGCAAUCUUUCACUUACGGAUGGGCCUGCGGCGCAUUAGCUAGUUGGUGGGGUAAUGGCUCACCAAGGCGACGAUGCGUAGCCGACCUGAGAGGGUGAUCGGCCACACUGGGACUGAGACACGGCCCAGACUCCUACGGGAGGCAG